UGCAAGUCGAGCGAACAGAUGAGAAGCUUGCUUCUCUGAUGUUAGCGGCGGACGGGUGAGUAACACGUGGGUAACCUACCUAUAAGACUGGGAUAACUCCGGGAAACCGGGGCUAAUACCGGAUAAUAUUUUGAACCGCAUGGUUCAAUAGUGAAAGACGGUUUCGGCUGUCACUUAUAGAUGGACCCGCGCCGUAUUAGCUAGUUGGUAAGGUAACGGCUUACCAAGGCGACGAUACGUAGCCGACCUGAGAGGGUGAUCGGCCACACUGGAACUGAGACACGGUCCAGACUCCUACGGGAGGCAGCAGUAGGGAAUCUUCCGCAAUGGGCGAAAGCCUGACGGAGCAACGCCGCGUGAGUGAUGAAGGUCUUCGGAUCGUAAAACUCUGUUGUUAGGGAAGAACAAAUUUGUUAGUAACUGAACAAGUCUUGACGGUACCUAACCAGAAAGCCACGGCUAACUACGUGCCAGCAGCCGCGGUAAUACGUAGGUGGCAAGCGUUAUCCGGAAUUAUUGGGCGUAAAGCGCGCGUAGGCGGUUUCUUAAGUCUGAUGUGAAAGCCCACGGCUCAACCGUGGAGGGUCAUUGGAAACUGGGAAACUUGAGUGCAGAAGAGGAGAGUGGAAUUCCAUGUGUAGCGGUGAAAUGCGCAGAGAUAUGGAGGAACACCAGUGGCGAAGGCGGCUCUCUGGUCUGUAACUGACGCUGAUGUGCGAAAGCGUGGGGAUCAAACAGGAUUAGAUACCCUGGUAGUCCACGCCGUAAACGAU
RNAcentral lists this ribosomal RNA (773 nucleotides) under Mammaliicoccus sciuri. RNAcentral describes it as "bacterial SSU rRNA". It matches the Rfam family "Bacterial small subunit ribosomal RNA", at positions 56 to 810 of the family's 1533-position model. The record is from RNAcentral. Lineage: Bacteria; Bacillati; Bacillota; Bacilli; Caryophanales; Staphylococcaceae.